CAGUAGCCGCGGUAAUACGGAGGGCGCGAGCGUUACCCGGAUUUACUGGGCGUAAAGGGCGUGUAGGCGGCCUGGGGCGUCCCAUGUGAAAGGCCACGGCUCAACCGUGGAGGAGCGUGGGAUACGCUCAGGCUAGAGGGUGGGAGAGGGUGGUGGAAUUCCCGGAGUAGCGGUAAAAUGCGUAGAUCUCGAGAGGAACACCAAUGGCGAAGGCAGCUUCUUGGUCCAUUCCUGACGUUCAUACACGAAAGCGUGGGGAGCAAACAGGAUUAGAUACCCCUGUAGUCCCUGUCUCUUAUAC
This 301-nucleotide ribosomal RNA is filed under the name uncultured bacterium. RNAcentral's name for it is "partial 16S ribosomal RNA". It matches the Rfam family "Bacterial small subunit ribosomal RNA", at positions 509 to 807 of the family's 1533-position model. The record is from RNAcentral.